CGACACACACCGUCCCCACCUGCCUGAGCUGCUGCAGUGGGACCAGGCCCUCUGGGCUGGAUCCCAUCUCAGCUGUCCCCAUCGGGAAGCAAGUGUUGUGGUCUGAAUGAAAAAUGUCCCCCAAAGGCUCCUGUGUUAAGGCAUGGCCCCCACAUGGUGCUGCUUCUGGGAGGUGACUAGGUCAUGAAGGGAGUCACUUCUUGUGGUUGGUUAACCCAGGAAUGGGCGGUUAAAGAUAGAGCCCGGAAGAAAGGUUUGUGUUGGUCUGUCUCUGAAGGCCACUCUGUCCCUGGUCCCUUGCUUUUACUGUUCCUAGAUAGAGUGAGCAGUUUUGUUUUGCCAUGCCCUUGAUUGGGCCUCACCACAGACCAUAAGUAAUGCAGCCAGACACAUACGGGCCAUGAGCCAAAGCAACUCUUUCUUCCCUUAAGCUUUUAACAGGUAAACACCACGGUGACAGAAAGCCACCACCAUAGGUAAGCCCUGUAGACAAAGACGCCAACACCUCGAUGUUGACAGCGUGACUAAGAAAAUGCAGGAGAAAGAGAUGACCCACAGACUGGAAGUCUGUCAGCCAAACAGCACGGGAGGAAAGGAUAAAUCUCCAGAGCUGGUGCAGAAUUCACACAGCUCAACAUAAAAGCAAGCGACUGGACUUUAAAAUGGACAAAAGACCCAGGCAGACACUUCUCCAAGAAGAACCGAGUGGUCUACACUUGCUCCAGGUCACAGGUCACCAGAGCCACAGACAAAAUCCACAACAGAACACCACCACACAACUGUUAGCAAGAAGCAACAGGUGGUGGAGAGAAAGGAGGAACCCUUUCCACUGCUGCCGGGAGUGGAAUCUAGGUCAGUCACCAGGGGAGACUCUCUCUCUCUCUCUCUCUCUCUCUCUCUCACUCACACACACACACACACACACACACACACACACACACACACACACACAAUAGAGCCACUGUGAUCUCUAGCAUCCAAAGGGACUGAGGCCAGGCUGUGGAAGACACACCCAUAUCCCAGUUUUACUGUAGCCCUCGGUAGUCACAGCAACCAUGAUACAGAACCCACAGGGGUGUUCAUGGACAAGAGAAUGAGAAGGUGCUGUGCUCACACACAACACUGAACAUGAAGGAAUCCCAUCCUGUGUCAACAUAGAGACACCCGGUGAGCACUGUGCUAAAUGAAGCAAUCUGGUCACAGAACAAACACCAUGUAAUCUCCCAGAUGGACUCUCACCACCUAAAGACGUUGAACCCAAGUGUGGCUUUCCGGCUGGUGGUGUAGAAACAGGGAGACAUUAGUCCAAGGCAAAGAAGGAGCUCCAGUCUGGCAGUUGGGCAAGUUCUGCAGACCUGGUGUGUAGUGGGUGACUACAGAGGACAGUUUAUACCAUGUGCAGAGACUUAGAGAGGGCUGGCGUGUGGUUCAGAGACCCUGCCUGACAUGUGUGAGGCCCUAGGUUCAAUCCCCAGUACCACACACACACACACACACACACACACACACACACACACACACACCUGCUCAGAGAGAACAGAUUUUAAAUGUAACCCUUACAGGUGAUGGAUAUGCCAAACAAUUCAGUGGUCACUGUUUCAUAUCUGCAUAUAAAGUCUUUGCACUGCACACUUUAAUCCUUGGAUGUUCAUCAGGUCCAGGAGGUUCUCCAGGCUCCUGCCCUUCUAUGGCUGCAGCUCACCCGGGUCCUAAGCCUGGAGAGCCCCAAGCUGCACAGGAAUCUGGGAGGAAGCGAGGUCUGUGAAUAGCUCAGCUCGCACCAUACACACAGUAUUUAUCUGCAGGUUGCCAGGAGUGAGAGAUAAGCAUUCAGGUAUUUUUCCACGGAGGGGUCUUGUCUUCUUGGAUCAAAGUUAAACAGAAACCCGAGUUAACUGAAGCGUCCUAAAGAUCAGCAGCCUUUCGAAGACUCACAUUUGAUUAAGGAGCCAGAUAAAAGCCAAGGUGAGAAUAGCUGGGAGCCCAUGGGGUCCUGGGUGGAAGGAGCACCCGGGGCAUCUGCGAACUUUCAGAGUGAUAAACCCCGCAUAGCCCCCCACAACAUACUCCCACCGCUUUCCAAAUGCUCCACGACCUGCCAGCAUGGUCCAUGAAGACCAGAGGUUCAGUCACACUGGGUGAUUCUUAGUUGCACCUAGUAUGUCUGCAAGCCUGUUGCAAGUACAGGAUUUGAACCCCCGCCCCCAGACCUUGCUUUCUCCCAAGAGCUUUUCAGGCUCCCUGGGAAAUUCUACCUGUCUCUGUUGUCAUUCACAGGGUAGACACGGAGGGGUGAGGGUGAGGUCAAAUGCCUGGGUCCAUGUAGCCCCUGACUCAAGUUCUGCAUCAUUCCCAGACCCCACUCAGCCAAAGGGUUUCCUGGAGGUGGCAGCGGACCCAAGAGUAGCCCUACUCAUAGGCGGCUGGAGGUCAGUACUAGUGGAAGCAGGGGCGAGGACCCUGGGUGCUAUACUCCUGCACAUCCCUCAUUCUCUCCCCACAUAUACCCAAAGGACAAGCUGAUAUACCUAGGACCCUUCCCAGGGGCCCAGCUGCAUGCUGACCAGCAGAUCUGGCCAUGUAGAGGAGCUCCCGUGGGGUCACCCUAACUCCCAGCUAUCACCUCACAUACCAGCUGAAUGCUGUCAUGUUUCCACUGAUACCCUCCUGGUCUCCCUCAGGGGUCAGAGGAAAAGACGUGGGUGUGGAGCUACAAGCUUGGCUAGACAAGCGAGCACAGAGGCCCCAGGAUGCUAGACAGAGCCAGGUGUGCAAGGCGAGGUGUGUAGACGCAGACGGCCAGGCCUGCUGCACCAGGCGUAUAUAGGUAGGUGGUUAGGUAUUUUUCCAUAGAAACACCUUGUCUCUUCAGAUCAAAGUUAAACAGAAACUCAAGUUAACUGACGUCAAGUGUGUAAGUCUGGGCGCAUGGGGUUGCUGAAGUGUGAGUACAAGGCCAGGUGUGCAAGGCCAGGGGCUUAGAGUGAGCAGAGGGUCAGGCUACACCCACUGGCCUGGGAGGGGAAUGGGGCAGGGCCCACAUUAUAGUGGGAAAGCCCCACCAUGGAUCUGGUCAGACCCUGAGGAGGAAGUGCAUGCUCCCUGGUAGGAACUCAUUAUUCCCAAUCCCCUUGCCCCCUGGUGUAGUCAAGGACUGUCCCUGCCCCAGCACCUCCCACUCUACAAGCUCACAGAUGCCACUAAGGGGUUAGAGAAACACUGUGGGGGAGGGGUGAAAUCUUCGUCCUUGUCUUUCUUUCUGGUGUCCUUUUCCAUGCUGGGGUAGGAGUGAUCAGCCUGCCACAGAAGCCCAGCAGGAGUGGGGCUCCUCUGGAGCGGAGGAGCCCGGGAAAGAGAAGCUGAGAGGCCAGAGGAGUUAAGGACUCUCCUACUCUGAACCCUGAGUUUCCAUGGACGUCUCUCCCACCCACCUUGCCUGGAAAGGGGCCUUUGCUCAAUGAGGCUUGGCACCCAGAUGUGGCCUACAGGGAUGGGGAGCAUGAGUGCUGAUGGACCAGUCCCCAGGACCUUGCUGGGGAUGCAGCCCAAAGUGUCCAGAUGUUUAGCCCCUGGCUGACCAGGCAGCCGCAGUUAAAGACAUCAGUGUCUCAUGAAGCUCCACUAUAAGGACCUCAUGUGCCAGCUCUGACCCUGCACCCCAUGUGGCUGAGCCCUCACCCAAAGGAGGCGUGGCCUUCCUUCCAGCACCUAACAGGACCUAUGCCUUUAUAGCCUCUGGCUGCCCCUGAAACAGACACAUGGCCAGGCCCUCCUAACCCUGGCUAGCAGCCCACAUGAUUCCCCAUCAUCUUGCGUGGCCCCAACAGAAGAUGAGGUAGGUUGUUCUCCUGUCAAGACACAUCCCCGUGGAGCUGACCGCGCAGGAUGGGCUCUGCCAGCUGUGGCCAGGUGCGGGCCUCCUCCGGGAGGCGGCCCGACCCAGUCCACGUUCAGCUAUUUCAAGGGUGGAAUGUGUGUGGGAUUCAUUGUGACACCAGCCCCACCCUCUCAGGUCCAGCUGUGGCCCCUAAUGAAGCCUUGAGCAUCCCCUGGGCUUCUGCACAGCCCAGGUCCUUCCUGGAACGGGGCCACACAUCCAGCUCCUCUGCCUGUAGCCUGUCACUCACCCUCUGAAUGCAUCUUCUCAGCCAGAGUCCUGUUCAUCCCCUGGGAGGCGACCCCAGGGCUACAGGCUCAGAUUUUACCCAGCUGUGUCACGAUAAGUCCCCCACACACCUGUUCCUCCAUUGCAGUUCCUCGUGUGCCUCUUUCCUGGGAAUGAGUACUAUCUAUCUAGGGCUUGACCCUGCCCUACCUGUAGCCCCUUACUUGCUAUACCAGGCUCUGAGCCAGCAACUUGCCAGGAACCAUCCAAGUUCACCCUGCUGGCAUCCAACAAGAUGAUUCCCGGCAGAGUCCCAGGGAACCCUCGUGGCUGCAUGCCUACAAACCGACAGCAGACACCCCUUUGAGCCCAGCCUAGCCUCCCAGCUCCUGAGCACAUUGGCUAGAGGGCAAGGCCGCUUCCCCUCCCGCAGAGGACAGAUGUCAUGCCCUGCAGGCUGGCCAAGGCCUCCCAAUGCAAACAGUAGCUGGGGAGUCAGGAGCACAGCUUGGGAGCACUAUCUAGAGGCCUGGUCCCUGAGCAGACACAAAAGGAAGCUACCUGGGACCUGGUCCAUCUGUCCCUGCCCUGCCUUGAUCCUGGGAAUUUCUGAAGAAUGGCCCCCUCCUCUUUUCUACCCAUCACAUAGCAUUGUAUGGCAGAGCUUCAGGUCUUGGCUGGGCAGAAGCACGUGGGUUGUAUAGGAGGCCGGGGCCUAUGGUCUCCUUGUGUGGCUGGCAUUUUUCAGCCCUUUGACUAGGCUGGCUGGGGCUACAGGGAGAGCUUCAGAGAGCGUGGCUCAGAGGCUAGGAACAAGGACGGAACAGCUGGAAUUCAGUAGGAGUCAAAGCUCCUCCACCACACUAUUGCUUUGGUUCUCCAUUUCCAGCCUGUGACCGAGUCAGCACCUGGCUAACUCUGCGAGGACUGUCUCUCUGUCUCAGGAGCAGCCACGGAGCUGAAAGGCAGUCAAGGGACACCCGGUGGAACUCCAGUUUAUACCACUUAGAGCGGCUGAGUUUUCUGCUGAGAGUGUGGGUGUGGGUGUGGGGGGCCUGGCCAGGGUCCUUGGGGACACGGAGGCCGCGCCCCAGCUCCUACUGCCUGCAUUGGAGAACACCCGGAAGUCCUGGCAGCUGGCCACCAUUCUGUGAUGAAAUGGAGUUGGAAGAAUGCUCAGCUUGCUGUUACAGCUGUUGCUUCAGAGACAGGGUCCUUGCAAGUGUUUCAGAACUAACUCUUCUCUUGGGAGUUGCUUCCAAUUGACCGACUGGAGCAGCAGUUAAGCCUCAAGAAGAAGGCUGGCUGUGCACCCAGGGACUCAGCAAGAAAUUCCCAGGCAAAGCCAGGAGCCAGGAGUGGAAGCAAUGAAAUGGCAGCAGCUCCUAUUUCAAAGGACGUGUGUAGGAGGGCAGAGGCCCUCUGGCCCUGAGUGGCCACUGUGCCCAGCACUCACUCAUGCUUAGCAUUCCCUGACCUUGCUGCUCAUUUCAGAAACAUAAAAUAUUCAGCAAUUCCCUCACAAGCACCAUGGAUGGAUCCAUAGCUCAGGCCCAAGCUUUGGCUUCCAUCAGGAGUCUUGUGCAAUCCAUACAUAUGCACAUGUGCACACACCUACGGACACACAUUCCCACACAGGUGUACUUACACACACACACACACACACACACACACGUACAUGCCUAUUCAAUACACUCAAACACACAUGCUCAUGCUCACACAGUCACACAUACACACAUGCUCAUAAAAACACGUGUAUUCAGGGAGCCAAGGUCCGAGCCUACCAGAGGUUGUCGUCUCUGUCCCACCCAGCCCCACCCAGUCCUUUGUAAAGGGUCCCAUCUGGUAUCACUCUGUGUACCCACGGGAGACCAGGUCAGGGUUUCAAAUGCCAUAUCACCCUUUUGGGAGAGAAGACAGAAACUGAGGAGCUGGGAGCAGCACCAAGCUACUUCCCUGCCACUGCCUGGUCAAGGGAGACCUCAGGCCCUUUGGAGAGGGACCGCAUAGUGUCAUGCAAGAUGGCAGGAUCUGUGAGAGGCAUGAAGACUGCCUGGCCCAGAUGAUAGCAGCCACAAGGCCAGGGAGAGAACCCAAGCUAAAGAGAAAGAGAUCCCUACACCCAAGGAAAGGUAGAGGGGGCACUGUCUAAGGUUAAGAACCUGGUGAGGAGGGGAGAGGCCCAGGCUGGAGUCCCUGCCCAUCUGACUCAGGUUCAUUCCCUGGCAGGUGCAGGUUGAAGGCUGAACAUGGGGGCUGGGGAGGGGGGCUGUGGCCCUGGAGCAAACAUCUGAGUUCUUGAGGAACUAACUCAUCACAAGCUCAGUCACACUGCCCCCCCCCCCGCCCCAGGCAGCCACUGAGAGUACUGCCCAUCAGCCCCCACUCCAGCUCCUAGAGAACAGGAAGAAUUGAUCAGAAACCUGGGGAUCAACACACAGUGUCCCCCAGGAAAGCAAAGCCUCAGAAGCAGGCCUCCCGCACAUUCCAGAUUCCCAACCCUCGGCCUGCAGCUCCCUUUCUUCUUUCCGGAAGCUGUGAGAACAACUUUCCUAGAAGCCCACGUCCACUGGCAACCCAUGACUUAAGGAAAAGCCUGAGGCCUUCUUGGACCACACCUGAGUCUGCCCUUGGGCUGGCUCUCCUGCUGUUGCCUGUCACCUUGUGAGGAAACACGCCACUUCUAUCCCUAGGCACCCGUGCCUGACUUGUUUGACAUAGCUCAGGUAGUCUGUCAAGCCUAACCAUCCCGGAAGCCAUAGCUGAGGCUCCUCUUCGCAGAGCUACUAUAGUGUGGAACCUGGAAAACAAGCCAUUCCACGGGACCACACUUGUUCUGACCUCUAGAGAGCCAUGUUCUGUCCAGCUCGCUUAUGAGGCAACCGAGCAGCCAACAUAGCGCGGAGGACUUCCUGAGACAGAGGGCCUAUGUGGCCUCCAGGACUGGUGCAAGCUUCCCUACAACAGCCGACAGUCAAUGCUAGUCCUCCCUUGGCCCUUGGCGACUACAGUCACAUGUGACUCCUCCUGCCAACAGGGCUCAAGAGUUGGUCAAAGGGGACAGUAGCAAAACUCUGGGGAACAGUCACCUCUAGCGAACCUAGAAGCACUUGGGAGGACAAAUGAGUUUAUCUCCGUUUCAGAAUCAAGGUACCAAGAUAGGAGCGGUCCCUCACCCUUGCCUGCCAAGGUCCUUGGGUGUGCCACAGCAAGUUCUUGCCAUGCAAGAAGCCACUCCCUCUGCACCAUCAGUGCCAGCUCUGGAAUGACAGGGACACGAGGGUUCUUGGGAACUCGAGAGCUACCAAAUCGGGAACCUAAAGGCACCAUUUCAGCUGUGUUUCAAACCGGCAAAUUCCCCCGCCAACACCAGGAGCCCAGACUGCUACUCUGCUACUUCCUACUUGCAAACCCCCUGGUCCUCCUGUGUGCCAUGGGGCAUCCCUCUAGCUCAGCUAAACACAGCCUCUACACUCCCAGCAAACACCAAAUCUUCAAUAGGACAGGGUCACUUUGCCUUGGGGACCACACCCUCCUCCCGUCACCAUGGGGACAAGGGGGACAAGCACCCAUCUGAAAGGAGUCAUUAGCUCUGUGUGUAUCAUUCCUCCCAGCACUCAGUCCCUUCCAGAAGGUUCCACCCUCUCGCUGCAGCAGCAAGACGCACCCCUGCCCCAAGCAAGGGUUUGUUCUGUCUUGUUGGCCCGUCUGGUCUGGUUUGGAUUCCUGAAUAAUGUAGUCUUUUAUUUUCAUUAAAAACUCCAGGACACCCACAUUUGAGCAGGAACCGGCUCUUAGCAGAGUGAGCCGUUAAGAGAGAAGAGGCUGUGAGACUCAGGGUGGCUCUGGGAGACAGCUGGGAGUUCAAGGGUCAGAAGCACGUCCAUCACUGCCAGGUGGGUUCUAUCUUGUGCCGAAGCCACCCUCAGACUUAGCCCAUAGUAAUCUCUGGAGUCCAUACACCUCCACGGGCCUCUCAGGGCUAGCCACUGCCUGUCCCAAAGCUGAGCAGGGAAGAACAGUGGUGGAGGAGCCAGGAAGUCGCCACAGCCCACGCUGCCUGCAUUCCUCGUGGCUCUCCCCCAUGUCCACCAGCCCGUGUGAACUAGACCACUCUGGUAAGAUUCAAGUCUUCUGUGGACUCCUUCCUUCGGAAACAGAGGCUACACGGGGGCCUGAGAAGGUCAGUCAGCACUGGAACAGUGUCCUGGUCCCACUCACUGACCCAGUCCGACCUGGCAAGUGUCCCCAAGCCUCUGAGGGGACACUGUCAUCUCCACUCUCCUCUGUGCCAGAAACAAUUCAUCUCCACUCUUCUCUGUGCCAGAAACAACCCCCACCAUCUGAGCACAGCCAUAAACUCUCUCCCGGGCACUGCACUCAUGGCAAAGUUUUCCAACACAAGGAUAAAGGACGGACGCUCUGGUGAUGCCCCUUCAAGGCUCCUCCACUCAGAAAGGCCUCACAGACAAGCUGGAGAAGCUCCACGGGCUUCGCAGCCCGGGCUCCACACCAGUCAGGCAGUGCCUUUUCUGGUCCUUGACUGGCUAUUAGAGUCCCCUGGAACUUUGCCAAAGAGUAAGAAGAGUUAGCUAGUUGGACGGUGGUGGUGGGUGCACUUCUUUAAUCCCAGCACUCAGGUGGCAGAGGCUGGAGGAUCUCUGUGAGUUCAAGGCCAGCCAGCCCAAGUUCCGGGACAGCCAAGACUAUACAGAGAAACCCUGUCUCAGGAAAGAAGAAGGAAGAAGAAGGGAGAGAGAAAAGGAAGAAGGGAGGAGGGGAGAGGAAAGAGGAGGAGGGGGAGGAGAAAAAGACGAGGAGGAGGAGGCAGUGGCAGCUGCGGUGUGGUGGGGGUGGCAGCUAGACAAUGAAAGGCCAGGUGACCAGGGCUGCACAACAAGGCUCCAGGCUCUUCCCUCCCUGGUAGCUCAGUCACCUGAGAAGCCUGCACAGCACCCACACACACACAUAUACCCCCACACCAAACACACAACCCAACAUCCAAGGCAAAAGAGGGCACAUUGCAACAUCCCAUGUAAUUUUUAACCACCGGCCUAGAACCCUCCUUCUGUCUCCACUCAGUCCUGUAACCCUUCCCCUACCAGGCAAGAGGCCAAGUCAACCCCCACCCCACCCCACCCCCAUCAUCAUCACCCAGGCCCUGGUAGAGCACGGGAGAGUGCAGGUGGGAAGGAGAAUCUCCCAGUCCUCAACCCAGAUUCUUCACUAGUGACACACCAGUGAUAUACUUUUGGCUCGGGAUUAAAGGCCAAGCAGUGCCCAGUGCCACCCACAGGCUGAGGGUGUCUAGGAACACAUAGGAAAGCUGUGUCCAAUGGGGUCUCCACUAAGCCUUCUUGAGGCAGGCAGCCAGGGUAAUCAGGAUGAUGGACAGAAGCAAAAGGGGUCAGUGAGGGGUGGAAGGGGACACACGACAUGACCAGGCUUCCAGGGCUGUUCAGCCCUUUAGGUAGUCCUUUCCCCUGAUCAACCAUUGCAAAGACACACAGCCAUCUGUCCAGCGAUCUCGGCUGAAGCCGUUGAGAUCGUCACACUCCCCCAGAUACAUGGGUAUCCAAAGAUGCCUGUGUCUACCAAGUCAGGGUAAGGAGGAGGCUCCCGGUUAUUGUCACCAACACAUGCCACCAUGCAGCCAUUCUAGGAGGCCAAAAACAGAAGAAUUGGUGGUUCAGAGCACAUAAUGCUCUUCCAGAGGACCCAAGUUCAUUUCACAGUACCCUCAUCAGGCAGCUCAGGACUGCCUGUAACUCCCAUUCCAGUGAGUCUGACGCCCUCUUCUGGCCUCCAUAGGCGCUGCAUGCAUGCACACACAAUUUUUAAAAUAAUAAAAUAUUUUAAAAGGAACAUAUUUAAAGCAUCUAUAGCACAUAUUGGGAUGAUGGGGUAAUGGGAACAUCUGAAUAUGUCCUCUUAGUUGCAUGACAGACAGGUGUCACAAGCUUCUCAGGAAAGAGAAUGUUCAGAGGACACAAGCAAGAGUGCUAAGGGUGCAGCUUAUCACAGGAAAAAGGCCUGCAAGUGGACAUACAAGGACGUGAGCCCAUAUGUGGACUCCCACGGCUGUGCGGAGACACAGACACAGGCAUGGAUAUGCAUACAUUGGAUUGUAGGGACUCAAGAUGACUCAGCAGAGGUGGGAAGAGAUGCAUCACCCCCCAGGGCUCAAGACAUUGUUCCUACAGAGCCUUCAAAACCACCAGGCAAAGUUCCAGGAGAAGUUGAGUGAGACACUGCCUUACAACUAAACUAGAGAGCUGUGGGUGGGGGCCCACGAGGGACCUAACCUCUCAGAGUUGAAAUUUAAUGUUCACGGCCCAAAACCGAUCUGAGUGUUCCCUGAUGACUGCAGACUCUAGAACCAUCCACACCUGUCCCAAACACAGCCUCCAAGAACCAAGAUUAUUUGGCUAUUCUGGGUCCCACGAGGCUCUCUCUGCACAGCUGGAAUUCUGGUGAGCGUUGCACGGAUCUGUAAGCAGCUGGGCUGCACUACUGAUGCCUUCUCAGAAGGUCCUUGAUUGCUGCUGUGUAAUGUUUGUGUUGUUCAAUGGAUUCAAAAUACACUUUACACUUUUUUUGUUAACUUUA
This is a long non-coding RNA of Alexandromys fortis (reed vole), 10714 nucleotides long. RefSeq lists it as uncharacterized. The transcript is spliced from 5 exons. The record is from RefSeq and is a predicted model, not a curated record. NCBI's taxonomy places the organism in Eukaryota, Metazoa, Chordata, Mammalia, Rodentia, Cricetidae.